Molecule: ribosomal RNA, 515 nt
Filed under: uncultured bacterium
Lineage: Bacteria
Description: partial 16S ribosomal RNA
Rfam family: Bacterial small subunit ribosomal RNA
Source: RNAcentral
GAUGAACGCUGGCGGCGUGCCUAAUACAUGCAAGUCGAGCGAAUGGAUUAAGAGCUUGCUCUUAUGAAGUUAGCGGCGGACGGGUGAGUAACACGUGGGUAACCUGCCCAUAAGACUGGGAUAACUCCGGGAAACCGGGGCUAAUACCGGAUAACAUUUUGAACCGCAUGGUUCGAAAUUGAAAGGCGGCUUCGGCUGUCACUUAUGGAUGGACCCGCGUCGCAUUAGCUGGUUGGUGAGGUAACGGCUCCCCAAGGCAACGAUGCGUAGCCGACCGUAGAGGGUGAUCGGCCACACUGGGACUGAGACACGGCCCAGACUCCUACGGGAGGCAGCAGUAGGGAAUCUUCCGCAAUGGACGAAAGUCUGACGGAGCAACGCCGCGUGAGUGAUGAAGGCUUUCGGGUCGUAAAACUCUGUUGUUAGGGAAGAACAAGUGCUAGUUGAAUAAGCUGGCACCUUGACGGUACCUAACCAGAAAGCCACGGCUAACUACGUGCCAGCAGCCGCGGUAA